This 445-nucleotide ribosomal RNA is filed under the name uncultured bacterium. RNAcentral's name for it is "partial 16S ribosomal RNA". It matches the Rfam family "Bacterial small subunit ribosomal RNA", at positions 354 to 796 of the family's 1533-position model. The record is from RNAcentral.
GUGAGGAAUAUUGCGCAAUGGAGGCAACUCUGACGCAGCCAUGCCGCGUGCAGGAAGAAGGCGCUACGCGUUGUAAACUGCUUUUAACCGGGAAGAAACCCCAGGACGUGUCCUGGGUUGACGGUACCGGAGGAAUAAGUACCGGCUAACUUCGUGCCAGCAGCCGCGGUAAAACGAAGGGUGCAAGCGUUAUCCGGAUUCAUUGGGUUUAAAGGGUGCGUAGGCGGAGCGUUAAGUCAGUGGUGAAAUCCUGCAGCUUAACUGUAGACUUGCCAUUGAUACUGGCGCUCUUGAGUGCGCUUGAAGUGGGCGGAAUGUGCCGUGUAGCGGUGAAAUGCUUAGAUAUGGCACAGAACACCAAUUGCGAAGGCAGCUCACUAAGGCGAUACUGACGCUGAGGCACGAAAGCGUGGGGAUCGAACAGGAUUAGAAACCCGGGUAGUCC